UCCGGCUUAACGCCGGCAGUCUACCUAGAGUGCCCAACUUAAUGGUGGCAACUAAGUACGAGGGUUGCGCUCGUUGCGGGACUUAACCCAACACCUCACGGCACGAGCUGACGACAGCCAUGCAGCACCUGAACCGGCAGUCCCCGAAGGGAAGAUCCUAUUUCUAGGACUGUCCACCGUUGUCUAGCCCAGGUAAGGUUCUUCGCGUUGCGUCGAAUUGAACCACAUGCUCCACCGCUUGUGCGGGCCCCCGUCAAUUCCUUUGAGUUUCAACCUUGCGAUCGUACUCCCCAGGUGGGAUACUUAAUGGGUUGCCUCCGACACUGAGAUUUUACUCCCAACGUCUAGUACUCAUCGUUUACAGCGUGGACUAC
RNAcentral lists this unclassified non-coding RNA (374 nucleotides) under uncultured delta proteobacterium. Its description in RNAcentral is "contains 16S-23S intergenic spacer region". The record is from RNAcentral. Lineage: Bacteria; Deltaproteobacteria.